CACAGAUUCUAUGGACAUUUGGACUAUAUAGAUGUCAGCAUUUCAUUUAAAGCAGCAUCUGCAGUGAUUCACAAGCGGUGGAGAAGGAAGCAGCAGCUGAAGUGCGUUAGGGUUUCCUGCAGGAGAGAGGAGGGAUGGUGGCAUUGUCAUCACAGCAGGCAUUGUUGUUUGGCAGGUCCACCACCAAUGCAGUGACAGCUGUGGAUUACCUGAAACAGAACAGAGGACUCGAACCUGCAGCCUCUGAGUUGCUAGUCGUUCCUCCAUCUCACUGAGCUAUUCCUCCACACCCCUGCACAUUGACUUUUUGUGUCUGUGUCUCGUUGACCCCCACCGCAGUCCCUGUUGCAGUGGGUCCUUUCAGGCUCCUGGAAUCGAACCCACAUCCUCAGUGUGUGAAGCUAUAUCCGAGAUGCAUGUGCUAUACCACUACACUACCAAGCCGUGUGACAAUCGGAGCCUUUCCCAUUGUGCUUUUGGUCAAACCUUUCAGUCCAGUU
This is a long non-coding RNA of Amphiprion ocellaris (clown anemonefish), 500 nucleotides long. The record is from Ensembl. Lineage: Eukaryota; Metazoa; Chordata; Actinopteri; Pomacentridae.